AAACUUUCAACAACGGAUCUCUAGGCUCUUGCAUCGAUGAAGAACGCAGUGAAAUGCGAUACGUAAUGUGAAUUGCAGAAUCUCGUGAAUCAUUGAAUCUUUGAACGCACAUUGCGCCCUAUGGUAUUCCGUAGGGCAUGCCUGUCUGAGUGUCAGCUU
RNAcentral lists this ribosomal RNA (159 nucleotides) under Mattirolomyces terfezioides. RNAcentral describes it as "5.8S ribosomal RNA". It matches the Rfam family "5.8S ribosomal RNA". Rfam says of the family: 5.8S ribosomal RNA (5.8S rRNA) is a component of the large subunit of the eukaryotic ribosome. It is transcribed by RNA polymerase I as part of the 45S precursor that also contains 18S and 28S rRNA. Functionally, it is thought that 5.8S rRNA may be involved in ribosome translocation. Lineage: Eukaryota; Fungi; Ascomycota; Pezizomycetes; Pezizales; Pezizaceae. The record is from RNAcentral.